RNAcentral lists this ribosomal RNA (494 nucleotides) under uncultured bacterium. RNAcentral describes it as "partial 16S ribosomal RNA". It matches the Rfam family "Bacterial small subunit ribosomal RNA", at positions 28 to 507 of the family's 1533-position model. The record is from RNAcentral.
GACGAACGCUGGCGGCGUGCUUAACACAUGCAAGUCGAACGGAAAGGCCUGCUUUCCCUUGUGGAUUGCGGGUACUCGAGUGGCGAACGGGUGAGUAACACGUGAGUGAUCUGCCCCCAACUUGGGUAUAAGCCUGGGAAACUGGGUCUAAUUCCCGAUAGGACUGCAGGGUGGUGCCUGUGGUGGAAAACGAUUUUCUAGUGGUUGGGGAUGAGCUCGCGGCCUAUCAGCUUGUUGGUGGGGUAAUGGCCUACCAAGGCGGCGACGGGUAGCCGGCCUGAGAGGGUGGACGGGCACAUUGGGACUGAGAUACGGCCCAGACUCCGACGGGAGGCAGCAGUGGGGAAUAGUGCACAAUGGGGGGAGGCCUGAUGCAGCGACGCAGCGUGGGGGAUGACGGCCUGCGGGUGGUAAACUCCUUUCGACCGCGAGGAAGCCACCUGGUUGGAAGGGUGGUGACGGUAGUGGUAGAAGAAGCACCGGCUAACUACGUG